This 236-nucleotide long non-coding RNA is filed under the name Solanum tuberosum (potato). RNAcentral describes it as "long non-coding RNA (STUB_LNC006499)". Lineage: Eukaryota; Viridiplantae; Streptophyta; Magnoliopsida; Solanales; Solanaceae. The record is from RNAcentral.
CCUUACUUUUAAUACAUAUUGCAGAUUUAUCAUAGUAUUGCUAUGUACUGCUAUAAAUGCUAAUAAAUAAAAACGUAUCGCUAGAAUCAGUAAUUAUUUAUUAAAAGAUACCCAUCCAAGUAAUUAUUUCUUACUUUAUUGUAUUUAUUUGAAAUUACCCUUAAAACAAAUUUCAUCUUCACUUUGUUGUCGGAUCUUCAUAUCCCUUUUUAGAAAACAAGGUUUCCAUCUCAUCC